This is a non-coding RNA of Myotis brandtii (Brandt's bat), 128 nucleotides long. The record is from Rfam. Lineage: Eukaryota; Metazoa; Chordata; Mammalia; Chiroptera; Vespertilionidae.
UGACAGUGAAAGAACAGAAACCGAGCAAUAAGACUGCACGGCUACGUUUUCCAGAGCCACCAGCUGGGAGUUAAGUUGACUAAGGUUGUGAAAGCCCAGCCCAUUUGGAUCACAGCAGGCAUGGCAGG